RNAcentral lists this ribosomal RNA (332 nucleotides) under uncultured bacterium. RNAcentral's name for it is "bacterial SSU rRNA". It matches the Rfam family "Bacterial small subunit ribosomal RNA", at positions 568 to 898 of the family's 1533-position model. The record is from RNAcentral.
CGCGUAGGCGGCUUGGCAAGUCAGAUGUGAAAGCCCCGGGCUUAACUCGGGAAUUGCAUCUGAAACUGCUUUGCUUGAGUCCUGGAUGGGAUAGUGGAAUUCCCAGUGUAGCGGUGAAAUGCGUAGAUAUUGGGAGGAACACCUGCGGCGAAGGCGGCUAUCUGGACAGUGACUGACGCUGAGGCGCGAAAGCUAGGGGAGCGAACGGGAUUAGAUACCCCGGUAGUCCUAGCCGUAAACGAUGGGCACUUGGUGUUGGGGGUAUUGAGUCCCUCGGUGCCGGAGUUAACACGUUAAGUGCCCCGCCUGGGGAGUACGGUCGCAAGACUGAA